Molecule: long non-coding RNA, 2691 nt
Organism: Hippocampus zosterae (dwarf seahorse)
Lineage: Eukaryota; Metazoa; Chordata; Actinopteri; Syngnathiformes; Syngnathidae
Exons: 2
Source: RefSeq, a predicted model, not a curated record
ACUAAGGUAUGACAUUUGAUUUGCCUCGCAGGAUAAAGCCGAGCUGUCACUAAGCAUGAUCCAGCAGAAGCAAAGACAAAUGGAGAUGGAAUUACAUGCAGAGAUGACAGCUCUAAAAUCCACCCCACUGUCACGGUGCAUAAUACAGCUUUCCGUGCCGUAUAAAGAGUUAAUCAAUAUACAGCGAAAUGUAAAUUGUGCACUGCACCAAACCUUCCUUUUAUGUACUGGAGCGGCAUCUCCUGAAGUACCACACCGCUUUCUCUGCAGCACCUAUUCUUGUGUUUUUGAUCACAAUUGGAAAUUGAAUGACCGCUCCCGUAACCUCUACCCCUGGCACUAAUGUGAGCACCUGGGGAUGCUCACAUUCUAAUGCUGGGGGAGCACAAAGGUCCUGCAAUGUUGCUGACGUAAGCAGACUUGCCGGAGACUUCACUGGAGGAUAACAAGGAGCGAAGGGUUGGGAGGGGGGGGGGGUGUCUUGGAUGGAAGAAUGUGAGUUGGCCAAGGUCAUUUGAAUUUGUUAAACAAAAGGCUUUUUGAUAUCCUGUGGAGAAACAACAUAGGAUAAACACAAGGAUAUAAUGUACAAGUAGGGUUGCACAGUUACUCAAAUUCCAAAAGACAUGGCAAUGUAGGAGAAUGCACUUUGGAAAAAAAUACAGACCUACUGAAAAAUUCAUUUCAGUAGGUCUGUAGGAUUUAUUAAUUUUAAGAUAAAGAUAAGAUAAGAUAUCCUUUAUUCGUCCUACACUGGGGAAAUUUACAGCCUCCAGCAGCAAGAAUGUAUGUAUAAAAUUACUUAUAUUUUUUUAAAAUAUAAGUAUUAUAUUCAUACAGUCGCCAGAUACGUUCAGUGCUUAAAAAGUACGGCCCAUAUGUUUACAUAUCAUUGUUCCAUGAAACAUGAAAAGUUGAAGUCAUAAAGCCACAAAUGUGUUUGCAUUAUUGUAAUCUAACGUACGACUUACUGAUUUAUGUUUACGCCGCAUUUGAUUGGAAGUUACCUUCGUGAACAUUUCAUAACGAGGGCAAGUGCGUCGGUAAACAUCAUUCACAUGUGACCAGCCUGCUCGUCCGUCGUCAUCAGUCCAUCAUUAGUCAGGCUGGCCCAGUCCAUCGGUCGCUAAGCCAUCACACCAUCAUUGUUAUUUUAACUGCACUUUUGUCAUGGCUAUAAAUUAUACUUUGUCAACGCUAUUUUAGGACUGCCAGUAAAAAAAACGUUUAGAAAGGUAACAACACACAAUUUUGCUUGUUUACAGUUUGGACCACUUUACACACACACACACACACACACACACACAUACACAAAUAUGUAUAUAUUUUCUGCUUCUUCUCCUGCUUCCCCUCCCCAAACUGCCCUUUGCCUUUUCUUUUAGUGACGGUUCGGUCGGCAACAGAAAAUCACUUCAGUCAGCACUUUUCUAUUCUAUUCUAUUAGAUUUCUGUGUAAUAUUGUAAUGCAGAUUAAUGUAUUGCUUGCGUUUGUUAAAAACACCUGGCAAAAGGACCCCCCCAAAAAUAGUCCCCGAUUAAAUCACAAUGGCUAUAAUGGAAGGGAGCGGGUGGGGCUUAAUUAGAUUAUUUUUCAAAAUUGUUCAUCUGUAAUGAACAGGGUACAACAUAAUUCAUGUCGUUCGGUCUGCACCCUUCAGCAGUUUGAAUAGGCACAACUUGGGCCACGAAGGAGGAUAGUGUCACUGUGCAAGAGCAAUGGCUCAAAAUGAUCAUCUGUUAUCAUGCAGCACAGCUGAAGUACUGGAGCAGAAAGUGCCCUGUGGAAAUGCAUAAAAGCAAACUUCUCAGAGUCUGCACAGCUUUGACGUGAGCUUAACGCCGCUUUAUCUUUUCUCUCUCGAAGCCCUUGAAAUACCCUCUGCUCAAGCUACAACACUGCCUCACUGGCUCUGACAGCACAGAGGGAGUUUCACAUGCCGUGCAAAUACAACGUUAGCCUCUCUCUGCAUCACCAUUGAGAUCCCAACCCAAACUUGCUGGGCUGAAUUGUACGAGCGGGAAAAAAAAAUAAGGGGCAAAUUACAAAUGCUCAGAAUGUCGGCUUUUUGAGCGCGCUGCCCCCGAUGGUGAACGUGUCACCUCCUCGCGGCACAGGUCAAGAAAAAAGCGCGCUAAGCAAAGAUUGGUGCGGCUACCUAUGAGCUCGAAUGGGUGUGGCUAUCGAAUAACAUGGCCGCUGUUUAAACAUAGCACUGCGGCAGGGGGAGAUGAAUGCAUCUGUCCAUUUGUGACGUAGAAGUAGUAAAAAUGCAAGAUACAGUAACUUGGCGUACAAUAUAUCAACCACAUAAAGGUGCGCUUUUGGCCUGAGUACAUUUCUUUGUUGUCCUUGCUCGAUGUUUGACCUCUUGCAUCAAAAUCACCCUCCUAGCUUGACACACAAGCCUGUAACUUCAGGGAAAAAAUGUCUUUUUCAAGCCUUGAUAAUGCAUCUCACGCUGAGAAACAGAUAGGGGUUCGCGAUCUAGGAAGCAUAAGCCGCCUUGUAAAGUCAGCAAUAAAAAAAGCACUUAUCAAACGGUGACUCUGUGGGUCGGAAGAUGAAACGUGCCCUUGGCGUUGAGGACGAACAGCUGUGAAAAUGCAGCGGAAACACGUCUUCGUCUUGGUGGCCGUCGAUCCAAUAUUGGAUUUUAAAGCAUUUGUGUGUUCCUCAAAACAAAACAAAAA